AUUCUUUAUAAGAGCUUUGAUACAUGCAAAAUAUUCGAAAACAAUGUCCGAACAUAUAAUUUCCCCCCCGUAAUAUAGCAAAGAUCACGAAAAGGCCCAAAAAAGUACAUUAAGUUUAAAAUUUGGAGUAGAAAAAAAACCAAUAGAAAAAUUCCAUUUUCCUUCCUCAGUCAUCGAAGAGCUCUCUUUGGGCUUUCUGAAAAGGUAUCACAUGCCAAGUUUGGCCUCACGGUCUAAAAGUUAUAGAGUCAUACAUUUUUAACAAAACAAAAAGAGAAAAACCGAAAAAAACAGGGAUGCAACACGAGGACUUUCCUGGAGGUCUCCCAUCCUAGUACUACUCUCGCCCAAGCACCCUUAACUGCGUAGUUCUGAUGGGAUCCGAUGCAUUAGUGCUGGUAUGAUCGCAUCUGUUACUACAUGCAAUGUAAUCGUAUCUAUUCUUUUUUAAAGACUUUAUGAUCCAUUUGCCGUGGGUCCCACCAGCUAUGUAGGAAUACCCUAUCUUCUUAAUAAGAGCCUUGAUAAAUGCAAAAUAUUGGAAAACAAUGUCCGAACAUAUAAUGCCCCCCCCCCCGUAAUAUAGCAAAGAUCACGAAAAUGCCCAAAAAAGUACAUUUAGGUCAAAAUUUGAGUAGAAAAAAAAACAAUAGAAGAAUUCCAUUUUCCUUCCUCAUUUAUCGGAGAGCUCUCUUUGGGCUUUCCGAAAAGGUAUCACAUGACAAGUUUGGCCUCACGGUCUAAAAGAUAUAGAGUCAUACAUUAUUAACAAAACAAAAUAGAGAAAAACCGAAAAAAAAGAGGGAUGCAACGCGAGGACUUUCCGGGAGGUAAUCUAUCCUAGUACUACUCUCGCCCAAGCACCCUUACCUGCGGAGUUCUGAUGGGAUCCGGUGCAGUAGUGCUGGUAUGAUCGCAUGUGUUACUACAUGCAAUGCAAUCAUAUAUAUUCUUUUUUGAAGACUUUAUGAUCCAUUUGCCGUAGGUCCCACCAGCUAUGUAGGAAUACCCUAUCUUGUUUAUAAGAGCUUUGAUACAUGCAAAAUAUUCGAAAACAAUGUCCGAACAUAUAAUUUUUGUCCCGUAAUAUAGCAAAGAUCACGAAAAGGCCAGAAAAAAUACAUUUCGGUCAAAAUUUGGAGUAGAAAAAAACCCCUUCCUCAUUCAUUGGACAGCUCUCUUUGGGCUUUCCGAAAAGGUAUCACAUGCCAAGUUUGGUCUCACGGUUUAAAAGUUAUAGAGUCAUACAUUUUUCACAAAAAAAAGAAGAGAAAAAAC
Molecule: small RNA, 1278 nt
Filed under: Arabidopsis thaliana (thale cress)
Lineage: Eukaryota; Viridiplantae; Streptophyta; Magnoliopsida; Brassicales; Brassicaceae
Description: ATSL163890
Source: RNAcentral